RNAcentral lists this ribosomal RNA (253 nucleotides) under uncultured bacterium. RNAcentral's name for it is "partial 16S ribosomal RNA". It matches the Rfam family "Bacterial small subunit ribosomal RNA", at positions 524 to 776 of the family's 1533-position model. The record is from RNAcentral.
UACGUAGGGAGCAAGCGUUGUUCGGAUUUACUGGGCGUAAAGGGCGCGUAGGCGGCGCGGUAAGUCACUUGUGAAAUCUCUGAGCUUAACUCAGAACGGCCAAGUGAUACUGCAGUGCUAGAGUGCAGAAAGGGCAAUCGGAAUUCUUGGUGUAGCGGUGAAAUGCGUAGAUAUCGUAAGGAAGACCAGUGGCGAAGGCGGGUCUCUGGACAGUUCCUGACGCUGAGGCACGAAGGCCAGGGGAGCAAACGGG